UGAAUAAUAGUUAAAUUUAUAACAUUUAAAUUGCAUUUAAAAAUUAUAUUAAAAAUAUUUAUUUUU
Molecule: transfer RNA, 66 nt
Filed under: Endecameris sp. ZJUH 20220006
Lineage: Eukaryota; Metazoa; Arthropoda; Insecta; Hymenoptera; Figitidae
Description: tRNA-Ala
Source: RNAcentral